UACGUAGGUCCCGAGCGUUGUCCGGAUUUAUUGGGCGUAAAGCGAGCGCAGGUGGUUUAUUAAGUCUGGUGUAAAAGGCAGUGGCUCAACCAUUGUAUGCAUUGGAAACUGGUAGACUUGAGUGCAGGAGAGGAGAGUGGAAUUCCAUGCGUAGCGGUGAAAUGCGUAGAUAUAUGGAGGAACACCGGUGGCGAAAGCGGCUCUCUGGCCUGUAACUGACACUGAGGCUCGAAAGCGUGGGGAGCAAACAGG
RNAcentral lists this ribosomal RNA (252 nucleotides) under uncultured bacterium. RNAcentral describes it as "partial 16S ribosomal RNA". It matches the Rfam family "Bacterial small subunit ribosomal RNA", at positions 524 to 776 of the family's 1533-position model. The record is from RNAcentral.